This 492-nucleotide ribosomal RNA is filed under the name uncultured bacterium. RNAcentral's name for it is "partial 16S ribosomal RNA". It matches the Rfam family "Bacterial small subunit ribosomal RNA", at positions 29 to 507 of the family's 1533-position model. The record is from RNAcentral.
AGUGAACGCUGGCGGUAGGCCUAACACAUGCAAGUCGAACGGCAGCACAGUAAGAGCUUGCUCUUACGGGUGGCGAGUGGCGGACGGGUGAGGAAUACAUCGGAAUCUACUUUUUCGUGGGGGAUAACGUAGGGAAACUUACGCUAAUACCGCAUACGACCUACGGGUGAAAGCAGGGGAUCUUCGGACCUUGCGCGAUUGAAUGAGCCGAUGUCGGAUUAGCUAGUUGGCGGGGUAAAGGCCCACCAAGGCGACGAUCCGUAGCUGGUCUGAGAGGAUGAUCAGCCACACUGGAACUGAGACACGGUCCAGACUCCUACGGGAGGCAGCAGUGGGGAAUAUUGGACAAUGGGCGCAAGCCUGAUCCAGCCACACCGCGUGGGUGAAGAAGGCCUUCGGGUUAUAAAGCCCUUUUGUUGGGAAAGAAAAGCAGCAGGUUAAUACCCCGCUGUUCUGACGGUACCCAAAGAAUAAGCACCGGCUAACUUCGUG